ACAUAACUGAUGCCUCCGCGUAUCGACUUUGUGCGCAUUUUAGCUAUUAUGUGUUCUUUUAAUUAAAAUGAUUCUUUUUAAGAUUCAUCUAUUAAAAAUUUGCCUCGGCAUAAUUUUUUUUGAUGAUCUUGUUACUUUGAGUAAAUUAGAGUGUUCAAAGCAAACAGAUAUAGCAUUUGUGCGUUUGAAUACUACAGCAUGGAAUAACAAAAUUGAACAAGUCAGAAUUUUUUUGUUCUUUUUUCUUAUUUUGGCUUAGUUACGAUUAAUAGGAGUAGCUUGGGGGCAUUUGUAUUCAGAUGUCAGAGGUGAAAUUCUUAGAUUUUCUGGAGACAAACAACUGCGAAAGCAUUUGCCUAAAAUACUUCCAUUAAUCAAGAACGAAAGUUAAGGGAGUGAAGACGAUCAGAUACCGUCGUAAUCUUAACCAUAAACUAUGCCGACUAGGCUUUGGAUGAAAGAUUUUAAAAUAAGAGUUUUUCUUUUCUCUCCGGAGAUUAGAACUCUUAGAUUGCUCCCUUCAGUGCCUUAUGAGAAAUCAAAGUCUUUGGGUUCUGGGGCGAGUAUUCGCGCAAGCGAGAAAGUUAAAAGAAUUGACGGAAGGGCACCACCAGGCGUGGAGCUUGCGGCUUAAUUUGACUCAACACGGGAAAACUCACUAGUUUAAGACAAGAGUAGGAUUGACAGAUUAAUAGCUCUUUCUUGAUUUCUUGGAUGGUGAUGCAUGGCCGUUUUUAGUUCGUGAAUAUGAUUUGUCUGGUUAAUUCCGAUAACGAACGAGAUCUUAACCUGCUAAUUAGCGGCAAAUACGAUAUAUUCUUAUGUAGAAUUGAAUAUAGUGGAUUUGUUAGAUUUUGAAGAAAAUAUUGGAAUUACGUUAAAUGUGAUUCCUUUCCCUUUUCUACUUAAUUUACAUUUCCAUCUAUUUCUUUUUUGCGUAUGAAUGUAUUUGCUUGAUUGUAAAGCUUCUUAGAGGAACGAUGUGUG
RNAcentral lists this ribosomal RNA (987 nucleotides) under Plasmodium knowlesi. Its description in RNAcentral is "SSU rRNA". It matches the Rfam family "Eukaryotic small subunit ribosomal RNA", at positions 638 to 1428 of the family's 1831-position model. The record is from RNAcentral. Lineage: Eukaryota; Apicomplexa; Aconoidasida; Haemosporida; Plasmodiidae.